UACAGAGGGUGCGAGCGUUAAUCGGAAUUACUGGGCGUAAAGCGCGCGUAGGCGGCUUUGCAAGUCGGGUGUGAAAUCCCCAGGCUUAACCUGGGAACUGCCAUGGAUACUAUAGGUCUUGAAUACUGUGGAGGUCAGCGGAAUAUGUCAUGUAGCGGUGAAAUGCUUAGAUAUGACAUAGAACACCAAUUGCGAAGGCAGCUGGCUACACAAAUAUUGACACUGAGGCACGAAAGCGUGGGGAUCAAACAGG
RNAcentral lists this ribosomal RNA (253 nucleotides) under uncultured bacterium. RNAcentral's name for it is "partial 16S ribosomal RNA". It matches the Rfam family "Bacterial small subunit ribosomal RNA", at positions 524 to 776 of the family's 1533-position model. The record is from RNAcentral.